AGGACGAACGCUGGCGGCGUGCUUAACACAUGCAAGUCGAGCGGAAAGGCCCUUCGGGGUACUCGAGCGGCGGAACGGGUGAGUAACACGUGAGCAAUCUGCCCUUAGCUUCGGGACUAGCUCCGGGAAACCGGAAUUAAUACCGGAUACGACGACGGCCGACAUCCGGCCGUGGUGGAAAGAUUUAUCGGCUAGGGAUGGGCUCGCGGCCUAUCGGCUUGUUGGUGGGGUAACUGCCUACCAAGGCGACGACGGGUA
RNAcentral lists this ribosomal RNA (258 nucleotides) under uncultured bacterium. RNAcentral describes it as "partial small subunit ribosomal RNA". It matches the Rfam family "Bacterial small subunit ribosomal RNA", at positions 26 to 285 of the family's 1533-position model. The record is from RNAcentral.